GACGAACGCUGGCGGCAUGCCUAAUACAUGCAAGUUGAACGAUGAUAUUCUCUGCUUGCAGAGAAUUGAAGAGUAGCGAACGGGUGAGUAACACGUGGGGAACCUGCCCAUGAGAGGGGGAUAACAUUCGGAAACGGAUGCUAAUACCGCAUAAUGCUUUGGACCGCCUGGUCCAGAGACGAAAGACGGCUUUUGCUGUCACUCAUGGAUGGCCCCGCGCCGUAUUAGCUAGUUGGUGAGGUAAUGGCUCACCAAAGCUGUGAUACGUAGCCGACCUGAGAGGGUGAUCGCCCACACUGGGACUGAGACACGCCCCAGACUCCUACGGGAGGCAGCAGUAGGGAAUCUUCCACAAUGGGCGAAAGCCUGAUGGAGCAAUGCCGCGUGAAUGAAGAAGGUCUUCGGAUCGUAAAGUUCUGUUAUUAGAGAAGAACAAGUCAAGGAGUAACUGUCUUGACUUUGACGGUACCUAACCAGAAAGUCACGGCUAACUACGUG
This 498-nucleotide ribosomal RNA is filed under the name uncultured bacterium. RNAcentral describes it as "partial 16S ribosomal RNA". It matches the Rfam family "Bacterial small subunit ribosomal RNA", at positions 28 to 507 of the family's 1533-position model. The record is from RNAcentral.